GCUGCGGAGGAGUUCAGGCCCUAUCAGCUUGUUGGUGAGGUAACGGCUCACCAAGGCUGCGACGGGUAGCCGGCCUCAGCGGGUGACCGGCCACAUCGGGACUGAGACACUGCCCGGACUCCUACGGGAGGCUGCAGUUUGGAAUAUUUCGCAAUGCGCGAAAGCGUGACGAAGUGACGCCGCGUGGGGGAUGAAGGCCUUCGGGUUGUAAACCUCUUUCGCUCGUUAAGAAAUCACCAUGGACCAAUAAUCCAUGGUGUUGACAAAGGCGAGUAAAGAAGCACCGGCUAACUCCGUGCCAGCAGCCGCGGUAAUACGGAGGGUGCAAACGUUGUUCGGUGUUAUUGGGCUUAAAGGGUGCGUAGGCGGCCAGGUAAGUCAGGUGUGAAAGCCCUCGGCUUAACCGAGGAAUAGCGCUUGAUACUGCCGGGCUCGAGGACCAAAGGGGAGAGCGGAACUCCAGGUGUAGCGGUAAAAUGCGUAGAUAUCUGGGGGAACGCCGAAGGCGAAGGCAGCUCUCUGGGUGGUUCCUGACGCUGAGUGCACGAAAGCUGGGGGAGCAAACAGGAUUAGAUACCCUGGUAGUCCCAGCCCUAAACAAUGGGCACUAAGUAGAGGCAGGGCUGAACCUGUCUCUGCCGAAGCAAAAGCAUUAAGUGCCCCGCCUGGGGAGUACGGUCGCAGGCUGAAACUCAAAGGAAUUGACGGGGGCUCACACAAGCGGUGGAGCAUGUUGUUCAAUUCGAUUCAACGCGAAGAACCUUACCCGGGCUUGAAAUGCGCGGAUUAUCCGGCCGAAGGGCCGGUACGCCUUCACGGGUGGAACGUGCACAGGUGUUGCAUGGCUGUCGUCAGCUCGUGUCGUGAGAUGUCGGGUUAAGUCCCAUAACGAGCGAAACCCCUGUCCCUAGUUGCCAGCGGUUCAGCCGGGGACUCUAGGGAGACUGCCGGUGUUAAACCGGAGGAGGGUGGGGACGACGUCAAGUCAUCAUGGCCCUUAUGUCCGGGGCGACAAACGUGCUACAAUGGUCGGUACAGAGGGAAGCGAGACCGUAAGGUGGAGCAAAUCCCAAAAAGCCGGCCUCAGUUCGGAUUGAGGGCUGCAACUCGCCCUCAUGAAGCUGGAAUCGCUAGUAAUCGCGGAUCAGCCAUGCCGCGGUGAAUACGUACCUGAGCCUUGUACACACCGCCCGUCAAGCCACCAAAGUCGGGGG
RNAcentral lists this ribosomal RNA (1214 nucleotides) under metagenome. RNAcentral's name for it is "bacterial SSU rRNA". It matches the Rfam family "Bacterial small subunit ribosomal RNA", at positions 218 to 1417 of the family's 1533-position model. The record is from RNAcentral.